UCGCUUGGUUUGCCUACUGGAUUCCCCCGCAGCGACUCUAAACAACUGCUUCUAGUUGGUUCAACAGGGGCCGGCAACGCGAUCAAUCUGGGCUGGGAACGCUCCUCCGGGCGUGACCAGCAGCUCUCUGCGAGAGUUCACAGAUCAAACGAUCGCGGCCGCUUCGGCGGUUCAGAUAUGAUCGGUCCCGGCCUUCUCUCGGCUGGUGAAUUUACACGGAACCUGCGGAAGGAUCAUUAAU
RNAcentral lists this ribosomal RNA (241 nucleotides) under Opeltia flavorubescens. RNAcentral describes it as "Gyalolechia flavorubescens partial 18S ribosomal RNA". Lineage: Eukaryota; Fungi; Ascomycota; Lecanoromycetes; Teloschistales; Teloschistaceae. The record is from RNAcentral.